Molecule: ribosomal RNA, 497 nt
Filed under: uncultured bacterium
Lineage: Bacteria
Description: partial 16S ribosomal RNA
Rfam family: Bacterial small subunit ribosomal RNA
Source: RNAcentral
GAUGAACGCUGGCGGCGUGCCUAAUACAUGCAAGUCGAGCGAACAGACGAGGAGCUUGCUCCUCUGACGUUAGCGGCGGACGGGUGAGUAACACGUGGAUAACCUACCUAUAAGACUGGGAUAACUUCGGGAAACCGGAGAUAAUACCGGAUAAUAUAUUCAACCGCAUGGUUCAAUAGUGAAAGACGGUUUUGCUGUCACUUAUAGAUGGAUCCGCACCGCAUUAGCUAGUUGGUAAGGUAACGGCUUACCAACGCGACGAUGCGUAGCCGACCUGAGAGGGUGAUCGGCCACACUGGAACUGGGACACGGUCCAGACUCCUACGGGAGGCAGCAGUAGGGAAUCUUCCGCAAUGGGCGAAAGCCUGACGGAGCCACGCCGCGUGAGUGAUGAAGGUCUUCGGAUCGUAAAACUCUGUUAUUAGGGAAGAACAAAUGUGUAAGUAACUAUGCACGUCUUGACGGUACCUAAUCAGAAAGCCACGGCUAACUACGUG